Molecule: ribosomal RNA, 253 nt
Filed under: uncultured bacterium
Lineage: Bacteria
Description: partial 16S ribosomal RNA
Rfam family: Bacterial small subunit ribosomal RNA
Source: RNAcentral
UACGAAGGUGGCAAGCGUUGUUCGGAUUUACUGGGCGUACAGGGAGCGUAGGCGGUUGGAUAAGCCCUCCGUGAAAUCUCCAGGCUUAACCUGGAAAGUGCAGAGGGGACUGUUCAGCUAGAGGAUGGGAGAGGAGCGCGGAAUUCCCGGUGUAGCGGUGAAAUGCGUAGAGAUCGGGAGGAAGCCGGUGGCGAAGGCGGCGCUCUGGAACAUUUCUGACGCUGAGGCUCGAAAGCGUGGGGAGCAAACAGGG